RNAcentral lists this ribosomal RNA (483 nucleotides) under uncultured bacterium. RNAcentral describes it as "bacterial SSU rRNA". It matches the Rfam family "Bacterial small subunit ribosomal RNA", at positions 340 to 837 of the family's 1533-position model. The record is from RNAcentral.
UACGGGAGGCAGCAGUGGGGAAUAUUGGACAAUGGGCGCAAGCCUGAUCCAGCCAUGCCGCGUGAGUNAUGAAGGCCCUAGGGUUGUAAAGCUCUUUCACCGGUGAAGAUAAUGACGGUAACCGGAGAAGAAGCCCCGGCUAACUUCGUGCCAGCAGCCGCGGUAAUACGAAGGGGGCUAGCGUUGUUCGGAUUUACUGGGCGUAAAGCGCACGUAGGCGGAUUUUUAAGUCAGGGGUGAAAUCCCGGGGCUCAACCCCGGAACUGCCUUUGAUACUGGAAGUCUUGAGUAUGGUAGAGGUGAGUGGAAUUCCGAGUGUAGAGGUGAAAUUCGUAGAUAUUCGGAGGAACACCAGUGGCGAAGGCGGCUCNCUGGNCCAUUACUGACGCUGAGGUGCGAAAGCGUGGGGAGCAAACAGCGAUUAGAUAACCCUGAGUAGUACCACGCCGNAAACNAUGAAUGUUAGCCGAAGGGGAGUUNACU